RNAcentral lists this Y RNA (102 nucleotides) under Microcebus murinus (gray mouse lemur). Its description in RNAcentral is "Y RNA (ENSMICG00000043418.1)". It matches the Rfam family "Y RNA". Rfam says of the family: Y RNAs are components of the Ro ribonucleoprotein particle (Ro RNP), in association with Ro60 and La proteins. The Y RNAs and Ro60 and La proteins are well conserved, but the function of the Ro RNP is not known. The record is from Rfam by way of RNAcentral. Lineage: Eukaryota; Metazoa; Chordata; Mammalia; Primates; Cheirogaleidae.
GGCUGCUCUGAGUGCAGUGUUAUUUACAACUAAUUGAUCACAACAAGUUAUAGAUUCCUUUGUUCUUUCUCCACUCCCACUGCUUCACUUGAUCAGCCUUAA